Long non-coding RNA from Oncorhynchus tshawytscha (Chinook salmon), 1865 nucleotides. The record is from Ensembl. Lineage: Eukaryota; Metazoa; Chordata; Actinopteri; Salmoniformes; Salmonidae.
AGAGGAUAGAGAAGAGGAUAGAGCAGUGGAUAUAGAAGAGGAUAGAGAAGAGGAUAGAGAAGAGGAUAGAGCAGUGGAUAUAGAAGAGGAUAAAGCAAGGGGGUAGAGAAGAGGAUAGAGAAGAGGAUAGAGCAGGGGGUGGAGAACCGGAUAGAGCAGGGAAUAGAGAAGAAGAUAGAGCAGGGGAUGGAGAAGAGUAUAGAGCAGGGGGAUAGAGAAGAGGAUAGAGCAGGGGAUAGGUAAGAGGAUAGAGAGGAGGAUAGAGCAGGGGAUAGGUAAGAGGAUAGAGAGGAGGAUAGAGAAGAGGAUAGAGCAGGGGGAUAGAAAAGAGGAUAGAACCGGGGAUAGAGAAUAGGAUAGAGCAAGGGAUGGGGGGACUGAUGGGGGGACGGAUUGAAGAAAAUGCUGAAAGGUUAAGUGCCUCAUUAGCCUGAAGCUGAGGGCGAUUUUAACUUAAUUUAAAUUUGAGAUAGGAAUGAUCUCAUUAAGACAGAGGUACUUUCAAAUGCAGAUGUACAAAUAAAUCAACUGUCCAUGCUGAUACAAAGACUGGGACAGGAACUUUGGAUAAGGGAUUUCGGAUAACGGACUUUUGAUAAGGGACUCUGGAUUAGGGACUUUGGAUAAGGGACUCUGGAUUAGGGACUUUGGAUAAGGGACUCUGGAUAAGGGACUCUGGAAAAGGGACUCUGGAUAAGGGACUUUGGAUAGGGGACUCUGGAUAAGGGACUCUGGAUAAGGAACUUUGGAUAAGGGACUUUGAAUAAGGGACUCUGGAUAAGGGACUUUGGAUAGGGGACUCUGGAUAAUUGACUCUGGAUAAGGGACUUUGGAUAAGGGACUCUGGAUAAGGGACUCUGGAUAAGGGACUCUGGAUAAGGGACUUUGGAUAAGGGACUCUGGAUAAGGGACUCUGGAUAAGGGACUCUGGAUAAGGGACUCUGGAUAAGGGACUUUGGAUAAGGGACUCUGGAUAAGGGACUCUGGAUAAGGGACUCUGGAUAAGGGACUCUGGAUAAGGGACUUUGGAUAAGGGACUCUGGAUAAGAGAAGUAAAAUGUAGUUGCACAAACAGAAAAUGAAUGCACAGAUGAUUUUAAGUCGCUUAGGAUAAAAGUGUCUGCUAAAUGUCAUGUAUUAUUAUAAUUAUAAUAAGUACCUCUGCACACCUGCUCUGGCUAAGACAUGUCUAACUUGGAGGUCAUAACAGAUAUGCAGUGUGUUCAGUGAGGCAGGGUUCAAAGAACCUGGCACUGUCCCUGGGUUUGUCUGCACCACUAUUUGGCCUCUGACCCCUAUUCAGAUUCCCUCUCUGUUCUACCAAGACCAGAAGGGUAGUACCUGAGCGUAUCUCUGAAGGUUCCGUAACAGCUCUCUGUGACCUUAUUGCCAGACUCUGGUGCAGAAACCACAUUUUUCUUUUGGACGAUUGAGUCAGUUUUUCUUCUGUCUUGUGUUGAGGCUGCAACUGUUUCUGGACUUCAUUUCCCACCGUACCAUCAGACCAUGACUACCAGAGACGACUCUGUCCUGUCCUUGAUUUCCUGCUGCAGAGAAUCCUUGUAAUCAGUAAUGGCCUCAGAUCCCCUUGAUACACUACUUAUUUUACGAUUUGAUGCUUUUCAUUUUACAUUUGGAUAUUCUUGUUUUGUAGAGUGCCGUAAGUCGCUUAGCGUAUCAUGAGUGAUCAGACAUACAGUGGGGCAAAAAAGUAUUUAGUCAGCCACCAAUUGUGCAAGUUCUCGCAAGUUCUUCUCUGUAAUUUUCAUCAUAGGUACACUUCAACUAUGACAGACAAAAUGAGAGAAAAAAAAUCCAGAAAAUCACAUGGUAGGAUUUUUAAUGAAUUAAUUAGCAAAUUGUGG